CAGCCGCCACGAUGCCACUUGCCACCAGUUUGGCCAUAUUUCAGAGCUGCAACAUCACUGGAGUGCCCAAAAGCACAAGGUGUGCAAUACUCAGAGACAUGGCCAAGGUAAGAAAGGCUGAAAGACGACCACCACUGAACAAGACACACAAGCUGAAACGUCAAGACUGGGCCAAAAAAAUAUCUCAAGACUGAUUUUUCUAAGGUUUUAUGGACUGAUGAAAUGAGAGUGAGUCUUGAUGGGCCAGAUGGAUGGGCCCGUGGCUGGAUUGGUAAAGGGCAGAGAGCUCCAGUCCGACUCAGGCGCCAGCAAGGUGGAGGUGGAGUACUGGUUUGGGCUGGUAUCAUCAAAGAUGAGCUUG
Non-coding RNA from Pelobates cultripes (western spadefoot toad), 361 nucleotides. NCBI's taxonomy places the organism in Eukaryota, Metazoa, Chordata, Amphibia, Anura, Pelobatidae. The record is from the annotation of a GenBank genome assembly.